GAUGAACGCUGGCGGCGUGCCUAAUACAUGCAAGUCGAGCGAACGGACGAGAAGCUUGCUUCUCUGAUGUUAGCGGCGGACGGGUGAGUAACACGUGGAUAACCUACCUAUAAGACUGGGAUAACUUCGGGAAACCGGAGCUAAUACCGGAUAAUAUUUUGAACCGCAUGGUUCAAAAGUGAAAGACGGUCUUGCUGUCACUUAUAGAUGGAUCCGCGCUGCAUUAGCUAGUUGGUAAGGUAACGGCUUACCAAGGCAACGAUGCAUAGCCGACCUGAGAGAGGGAUCGGCCACACUGGAACUGAGACACGGUCCAGACGACUACGGGAGGCAGCAGUAGGGAAUCUUCCGCAAUGGGCGAAAGCCUGACGGAGCAACGCCGCGUGAGUGAUGAAGGUCUUCGGAUCGUAAAACUCUGUUAUUAGGGAAGAACAUAUGUGUAAGUAACUGUGCACAUCGUGACGGUACCUAAUCAGAAAGCCACGGCUAACUACGUG
RNAcentral lists this ribosomal RNA (497 nucleotides) under uncultured bacterium. RNAcentral describes it as "partial 16S ribosomal RNA". It matches the Rfam family "Bacterial small subunit ribosomal RNA", at positions 28 to 507 of the family's 1533-position model. The record is from RNAcentral.